CCUGACGCAGCACGCCGCGUGCGGGAUGAAGGCCUUCGGGUUGUAAACCGCUUUCAGCAGGGACGAAAUUGACGGUACCUGCAGAAGAAGCCCCGGCCAACUACGUGCCAGCAGCCGCGGUAAUACGUAGGGGGCGAGCGUUGUCCGGAUUUAUUGGGCGUAAAGAGCUCGUAGGCGGUUGGGUAAGUCGGGUGUGAAAACUCAGGGCUCAACUCAGAGACGCCACUCGAUACUGCCCUGACUCGAGUCCGGUAGGGGAGCGUGGAAUUCCCGGUGUAGCGGUGAAAUGCGCAGAUAUCGGGAGGAACACCAGUGGCGAAGGCGGCGCUCUGGGCCGGAACUGACGCUGAGGAGCGAAAGCGUGGGUAGCAAACAGGAUUAGAUACCCUGGUAGUCCACGCCGUAAACGUUGGGCACUAGGUGUGGGACUCUAUCGACGGGUUCCGUGCCGUAGCUAACGCAUUAAGUGCCCCGCCUGGGGAGUACGGCCGCAAG
RNAcentral lists this ribosomal RNA (495 nucleotides) under uncultured Actinomycetes bacterium. Its description in RNAcentral is "bacterial SSU rRNA". It matches the Rfam family "Bacterial small subunit ribosomal RNA", at positions 382 to 892 of the family's 1533-position model. Lineage: Bacteria; Bacillati; Actinomycetota; Actinomycetes. The record is from RNAcentral.